RNAcentral lists this ribosomal RNA (2166 nucleotides) under human gut metagenome. RNAcentral describes it as "bacterial LSU rRNA". It matches the Rfam family "Bacterial large subunit ribosomal RNA", at positions 288 to 2465 of the family's 2925-position model. The record is from RNAcentral.
CUUGUUGGGGUUGUAGGACUCCAAUAUGGUAGUCUGUUAGUAUAGUUGAAGGAUUUGGAAAAUUCCGCUAAAGAGGGUGAAAGCCCCGUAGACGAAAUGCUAACAACACCUAGGAGGAUCCUGAGUACGGCGGAACACGAGAAAUUCCGUCGGAAUCCGCGGGGACCAUCCCGCAAGGCUAAAUACUCCCUAGUGACCGAUAGUGAACCAGUACCGUGAGGGAAAGGUGAAAAGCACCCCGGAAGGGGAGUGAAAUAGAUCCUGAAACCGUGUGCCUACAACAAGUCAAAGCUCGUUAAUGAGUGAUGGCGUGCCUUUUGUAGAAUGAACCGGCGAGUUACGAUUGCAUGCGAGGUUAAGUCGAAGAGACGGAGCCGUAGCGAAAGCGAGUCUGAAUAGGGCGAAUGAGUAUGUAGUCGUAGACCCGAAACCAUGUGAUCUACCCAUGUCCAGGUUGAAGGUGCGGUAAAACGCACUGGAGGACCGAACCCACGUACGUUGAAAAGUGCGGGGAUGAGGUGUGGGUAGCGGAGAAAUUCCAAACGAACUUGGAGAUAGCUGGUUCUCUCCGAAAUAGCUUUAGGGCUAGCCUCGGAAUUGAGAAUGAUGGAGGUAGAGCACUGUUUGGACUAGGGGCCCAUCUCGGGUUACCGAAUUCAGAUAAACUCCGAAUGCCAUUCAUUUAUAUCCGGGAGUCAGACUGCGAGUGAUAAGAUCCGUAGUCGAAAGGGAAACAGCCCAGACCACCAGCUAAGGUCCCAAAAUAUAUGUUAAGUGGAAAAGGAUGUGGGGUUGCACAGACAACUAGGAUGUUGGCUUAGAAGCAGCCACCAUUUAAAGAGUGCGUAAUAGCUCACUAGUCGAGUGACCCUGCGCCGAAAAUGUACCGGGGCUAAACAUAUUACCGAAGCUGUGGACUACACCAUUAGGUGUAGUGGUAGGAGAGCGUUCUAAGGGCGUUGAAGGUCGAUCGUGAGGACGGCUGGAGCGCUUAGAAGUGAGAAUGCCGGUAUGAGUAGCGAAAGACAGGUGAGAAUCCUGUCCACCGUAUGACUAAGGUUUCCUGGGGAAGGCUCGUCCGCCCAGGGUUAGUCGGGACCUAAGCCGAGGCCGAUAGGCGUAGGCGAUGGACAACAGGUUGAUAUUCCUGUACCAGUUGUUUUUGUUUGAGCAAUGGAGGGACGCAGUAGGCUAAGGAAUGCAUGCGAUUGGAAGUGCAUGUCCAAGCAAUGAGUCUUGAGUAGAGUUAAAUGCUUUACUCUUUAAGGACAAGUUGUGACGGGGAGCGAAAUAAUAGUAGCGAAGUUCCUGAUGUCACACUGCCAAGAAAAGCUUCUAGUGAGAAAACAACUGCCCGUACCGUAAACCGACACAGGUAGUCGAGGAGAGUAUCCUAAGGUGAGCGAGCGAACUCUCGUUAAGGAACUCGGCAAAAUGACCCCGUAACUUCGGGAGAAGGGGUGCUGACUUCGGUCAGCCGCAGUGAAUAGGCCCAAGCGACUGUUUAUCAAAAACACAGGUCUCUGCAAAAUCGUAAGAUGAAGUAUAGGGGCUGACGCCUGCCCGGUGCUGGAAGGUUAAGAGGAUGGGUUAGCUUCGGCGAAGCUCAGAAUUGAAGCCCCAGUAAACGGCGGCCGUAACUAUAACGGUCCUAAGGUAGCGAAAUUCCUUGUCGGGUAAGUUCCGACCCGCACGAAAGGCGUAACGAUUUGGGCACUGUCUCAACGAGAGACUCGGUGAAAUUUUAGUACCUGUGAAGAUGCAGGUUACCCGCGACAGGACGGAAAGACCCCAUGGAGCUUUACUGUAGUUUGAUAUUGAGUGUUUGUACCACAUGUACAGGAUAGGUAGGAGCCGAUGAGACCGGAACGCUAGUUUCGGAGGAGGCGCUGGUGGGAUACUACCCUUGUGUUAUGAACCCUCUAACCCGCACCACUAAUCGUGGUGGGAGACAGUGUCAGAUGGGCAGUUUGACUGGGGCGGUCGCCUCCUAAAAGGUAACGGAGGCGCCCAAAGGUUCCCUCAGAAUGGUUGGAAAUCAUUCGAAGAGUGUAAAGGCAGAAGGGAGCUUGACUGCGAGACCUACAAGUCGAGCAGGGACGAAAGUCGGGCUUAGUGAUCCGGUGGUUCCGCAUGGAAGGGCCAUCGCUCAACGGAUAAAAGCUA